GACGAACGCUGGCGGCGUGCUUAACACAUGCAAGUCGAACGGAAAGGCCCUGCUUUUGUGGGGUGCUCGAGUGGCGAACGGGUGAGUAACACGUGAGUAACCUGCCCUUGACUUUGGGAUAACUUCAGGAAACUGGGGCUAAUACCGGAUAGGAGCUCCUGCUGCAUGGUGGGGGUUGGAAAGUUUCGGCGGUUGGGGAUGGACUCGCGGCUUAUCAGCUUGUUGGUGGGGUAGUGGCUUACCAAGGCUUUGACGGGUAGCCGGCCUGAGAGGGUGACCGGCCACAUUGGGACUGAGAUGCGGCCCGGACUCCUACGGGAGGCAGCAGUGGGGAAUAUUGCACAAUGGGCGGAGGCCUGAUGCAGCGACGCCGCGUGCGGAAUGACGGCCUUCGGGUUGUAAACCGCUUUCGCCUGUGACGAAGCGUGAGUGACGGUAAUGGGGAAAGAAGCACCGGCUAACUACGU
RNAcentral lists this ribosomal RNA (467 nucleotides) under uncultured bacterium. RNAcentral describes it as "partial 16S ribosomal RNA". It matches the Rfam family "Bacterial small subunit ribosomal RNA", at positions 28 to 506 of the family's 1533-position model. The record is from RNAcentral.